ACGGAGGGUGCAAACGUUGUUCGGAAUCACUGGGCAUAAAGAGCACGUAGGCUGCGCGCUAAGUCAGGUGUGAAAUCCCCCGGCUCAACCGGGGAACUGCUCCUGAUACUGGCGUGCUCGAGGACGGUAGGGGUGAGUGGAACUCCAGGUGGAGCGGUGAAAUGCGUAGAUAUCUGGAGGAACACCGGUGGCGAAGGCGGCAUCCUGGACCGAGAUUGACGCUGAGACUCGAAAGCGUGGGGAGCAAACAGGA
RNAcentral lists this ribosomal RNA (253 nucleotides) under uncultured prokaryote. RNAcentral's name for it is "partial 16S ribosomal RNA". It matches the Rfam family "Bacterial small subunit ribosomal RNA", at positions 525 to 777 of the family's 1533-position model. The record is from RNAcentral.